This 262-nucleotide ribosomal RNA is filed under the name uncultured bacterium. RNAcentral's name for it is "partial 16S ribosomal RNA". It matches the Rfam family "Bacterial small subunit ribosomal RNA", at positions 793 to 1055 of the family's 1533-position model. The record is from RNAcentral.
GUCCACGCCGUAAACGAUGUCGACUUGGAGGUUGUGCCCUUGAGGCGUGGCUUCCGGAGCUAACGCGUUAAGUCGACCGCCUGGGGAGUACGGCCGCAAGGUUAAAACUCAAAUGAAUUGACGGGGCCCGCACAAGCGGUGGAGCAUGUGGUUUAAUUCGAUGCAACGCGAAGAACCUUACCUACUCUUGACAUCCACGGAAUUUAGCAGAGAUGCUUUAGUGCCUUCGGGAACCGUGAGACAGGUGCUGCAUGGCUGUCGU